Molecule: ribosomal RNA, 484 nt
Filed under: Citrobacter koseri
Lineage: Bacteria; Pseudomonadati; Pseudomonadota; Gammaproteobacteria; Enterobacterales; Enterobacteriaceae
Description: partial 23S ribosomal RNA
Rfam family: Bacterial large subunit ribosomal RNA
Source: RNAcentral
CGAGUCUUAACUGGGCGUUAAGUUGCAGGGUAUAGACCCGAAACCCGGUGAUCUAGCCAUGGGCAGGUUGAAGGUUGGGUAACACUAACUGGAGGACCGAACCGACUAAUGUUGAAAAAUUAGCGGAUGACCUGUGGCUGGGGGUGAAAGGCCAAUCAAACCGGGAGAUAGCUGGUUCUCCCCGAAAGCUAUUUAGGUAGCGCCUCGUGAAUUCAUCUCCGGGGGUAGAGCACUGUUUCGGCUAGGGGGCCAUCCCGGCUUACCAACCCGAUGCAAACUGCGAAUACCGGAGAAUGUUAUCACGGGAGACACACGGCGGGUGCUAACGUCCGUCGUGAAGAGGGAAACAACCCAGACCGCCAGCUAAGGUCCCAAAGUCAUGGUUAAGUGGGAAACGAUGUGGGAAGGCCCAGACAGCCAGGAUGUUGGCUUAGAAGCAGCCAUCAUUUAAAGAAAGCGUAAUAGCUCACUGGUCGAGUCGGCC